UUUCAUUUUCGGUGCAGUUCGCUGGUGGUCAGUCGGGCCAGUCCCGGAGACAAAAAUUAGUACUUUUUCUGCUUUUUCUCGGUGAGGUGAGUUUUAUACAAUUUUUUUCUGAAGCUGGUAGCUUGUCUCGUGGAACUUUUAUGCGAAUGAUUGUUUGAGAAGCAUGUUUUUUUCCUUCUAUCUCCCGCGGUGUCCAACAACUUUUGUGUACAGCACGCAAAUAGAUGAGAGCCACUAAACGAUUACCGCACGACCGAGCUGGUCGUUGUUGCCGAGACACCGAACGAAUGUGAACGAACGGAGCGGGUCCCCUUUUUGGGCGGGGGGUUGGUAAAACACGAAUGCAGGAGAGAGAGAGGUAAAAGAAGCGCACCAACCGACACCAGGGGCCGAUCCAGAUGAACGCUGGAACAACUCAAUGUUUACAGGAGGAACGUGAUAGGAUUAGAUAUGGAAGCGGUAUUUUUUCGCGCAAAAAUUUGCGCGCUUGCCAAAGCCAUGAACUGACCACCGGAGCGAUGAUGAAGCAAACACUGGGUCAAUUAAUCUCCCUAGUGGAAUACAUGGUAGCUUUGCUUUCGACUAUAUUUAUUACACUGCAACUAACGUUUGCUCUAUAAUAGUUAUUUGAAAUGUAAAAGGUAACACUAAUAAUCCUAAUAAAUAUUUUUUUUCAAG
Molecule: long non-coding RNA, 678 nt
Organism: Malaya genurostris
Lineage: Eukaryota; Metazoa; Arthropoda; Insecta; Diptera; Culicidae
Exons: 3
Source: RefSeq, a predicted model, not a curated record